Molecule: long non-coding RNA, 1734 nt
Organism: Triticum aestivum (bread wheat)
Lineage: Eukaryota; Viridiplantae; Streptophyta; Magnoliopsida; Poales; Poaceae
Exons: 3
Source: RefSeq, a predicted model, not a curated record
AUGAUUAAAAGAGAAGAAAGUUUCAAUGUUUUUAUGAGAAACCCUCUCCAACAUCAACAGCCAUGUAGCCCUCUCCAAUCCAUGGCACGCACGUCCACUGUCCCACGGGGUUCCCCUCGAUCGUGAUUAGCUCCUCUUCAAUUCCUUGCACGCAUGCCCGCGUCCCAUGGGUUUCACCUCGAUCUCCAGUUCUCCGCCGCGUUGAUUUGUGUGACAUACAGAGAGAAGAUGUCACCGGCGGCUGCCAAAAUCAUCAAAUCUCAUAGCCACCAGAUUUACGUGGAUGGGCUGUGGCAGAUUCAUUGACCUAUGUAGCAGAGAAGAUUGCGUUGGCGGCUGGCCAAAUCAUCAACUCAUCGUCGCCAGAUUUAGGUGGAUGCAGAUGGGAUGACGUGCAUAGCAGAGACGAUUGCGCGAGGCGGUCGUGCAAAUCCGGACCUCAACAUCACCGGAUUUACACGGAUGUGCUGCUGAUUGGCUCAGUUCGUGAAAUACAUGAUGCUGCCACCCAUCCAUCCGUUAUUCAUGUUCCCGGUCGCUUAACAAGGAGUUGCUGGUGUGCCAGCUUUAGAAGGAGAAGAGGAUGGACGUUGUGGCUGGCUGGCCGGAAGAAGGAACACGGUAUUUUCUAACGUUCUGUCUUCCAUGCGUGGAUCUUGACCUCUCCGUGGUCAUCCUUGAGCUGCCGGCCCUCUCAUCUGUGUGGCCUUAAGUCUUCUCCAAUAGCUCCGCCAGGAAGAAAAUUUUGUAUAGUGCCCAGGUGAAUAUGAACUCCUUUUCUCCAUCAUAGUCAGGCGCAUCGCUACUGUCCUGGUCUUGACGGCAUAGCGUUGGCCUAAAUUACGGCUGUGCUAUCUUGCUAGCUAUGAUGCUGAUGCAAGGUAUGCAUAGAUAUUCUCCAAUUCCAAUCUGCAUAAUGCAUUGCUCUUCAUGUUCAUAUUACUAUUCUGCAAUUCCAUCCUAUAUAUAUGCUGAUGCAUUAGCAGCAUUACCAAGUCCAAGUCUGCGUGCAUCCAUAGGAAAAAAGAGUCAAGUCUGCAUGCAAAGGUAUGCAUCGAUAUAUCAUCUUCCAAAUUUCCAAUCUACAUACGUACUGAUACAUAGUCCAGGUCUGCAUGUUGAUAUUGCUAGGAAGAGUUUGCAACUCAGUGUAACUAAAACAGUCUGUGAUAUUAGAUACUCAUGGCAUCCUCGCUGCCGAUGACACACGACACUUAAAGAGGCAACAGAAUUGAGGAACGAACCUGUGAAAUAAGCAAAGCAUGAUGGGUCGGGGAACGAGCCAGCAACGAAAGCGUGGAUGCGCGGGCAUGGUAGCGGAACAAGCCUGGAGAUUUUCUGGCCAAGCUAUUCAAUAGCAUCGCCUUCAUGAUCCCGUGAAGCAUCUACUAAUGGUGUUCUGAUGAGUAAAUAAUUGCAGAUGUGUGAUUCGUUCUAGAUCACAUGGUGUUUUGAUCCACUUAUGCUAAAUAAUUUAGUGUUCUUGCAUAGCACCUCAAUUGGAUGUGGAAAAAUAAUUUUAUUUUUAGUUACACACAUGCUCAAUUGUUUAGCGUCCUGGUAAUUUACUAAUUGCAGAUGUACGAUUUAGUGUUAUGCCCUUACUUGGAAUAUUACUGCCACAAUAUGGAUGAGUUGUCUAGGUAUUUGAAAACAUUUGAGAUGUUUAUGGGACCUUCCUGGUGUAGGUCGGCGUAGUUUCAGUUUCACCGAGGCAACAAAAGAACAUGGUAA